CAGCAGCCGCGGGAAUACAGAGGGUGCGAGCGUUAAUCGGAUUUACUGGGCGUAAAGCGUGCGUAGGCGGCUUUUUAAGUCGGAUGUGAAAUCCCUGAGCUUAACUUAGGAAUUGCAUUCGAUACUGGGAAGCUAGAGUAUGGGAGAGGAUGGUAGAAUUCCAGGUGUAGCGGUGAAAUGCGUAGAGAUCUGGAGGAAUACCGAUGGCGAAGGCAGCCAUCUGGCCUAAUACUGACGCUGAGGUACGAAAGCAUGGGGAGCAAACAGGAUUAGAUACCCCGGUAGUCCCUGUCUCUUAACA
Molecule: ribosomal RNA, 301 nt
Filed under: uncultured bacterium
Lineage: Bacteria
Description: partial 16S ribosomal RNA
Rfam family: Bacterial small subunit ribosomal RNA
Source: RNAcentral